RNAcentral lists this ribosomal RNA (492 nucleotides) under uncultured bacterium. RNAcentral's name for it is "partial 16S ribosomal RNA". It matches the Rfam family "Bacterial small subunit ribosomal RNA", at positions 29 to 507 of the family's 1533-position model. The record is from RNAcentral.
AGUGAACGCUGGCGGUAGGCCUAACACAUGCAAGUCGAACGGCAGCACAGUAAGAGCUUGCUCUUACGGGUGGCGAGUGGCGGACGGGUGAGGAAUACAUCGGAAUCUACUUUUUCGUGGGGGAUAACGUAGGGAAACUUACGCUAAUACCGCAUACGACCUACGGGUGAAAGCAGGGGAUCUUCGGACCUUGCGCGAUUGAAUGAGCCGAUGUCGGAUUAGCUAGUUGGCGGGGUAAAGGCCCACCAAGGCGACGAUCCGUAGCCGGUGUGAGAGGAUGAUCGGCCACACUGGAACGGAGCCACGGUCCAGACGCCUACGGGAGGCAGCAGUGUGGAAUAUUGGACAAUGGGCGCAAGCCUGAUCCAGCCAUACCGCGUGGGUGAAGAAGGCCUUCGGGUUGUAAAGACCUUUUGUUGGGAAAGAAAAGCAGCAGGUUAAUACCCCGCUGUUCUGACGGUACCCAAAGAAUAAGCACCGGCUAACUUCGUG